CAAAUGAAUUGACGGGGGCCCGCACAAGCGGUGGAGCAUGUGGUUUAAUUCGAUGCAACGCGAAGAACCUUACCUGGUCUUGACAUCCACAGAACUUUCCAGAGAUGGAUUGGUGCCUUCGGGAACUGUGAGACAGGUGCUGCAUGGCUGUCGUCAGCUCGUGUUGUGAAAUGUUGGGUUAAGUCCCGCAACGAGCGCAACCCUUAUCCUUUGUUGCCAGCGGUCCGGCCGGGAACUCAAAGGAGACUGCCAGUGAUAAACUGGAGGAAGGUGGGGAUGACGUCAAGUCAUCAUGGCCCUUACGACCAGGGCUACACACGUGCUACAAUGGCGC
Molecule: ribosomal RNA, 334 nt
Filed under: Salmonella enterica
Lineage: Bacteria; Pseudomonadati; Pseudomonadota; Gammaproteobacteria; Enterobacterales; Enterobacteriaceae
Also listed under: 1 other name
Description: bacterial SSU rRNA
Rfam family: Bacterial small subunit ribosomal RNA
Source: RNAcentral